UGUUUCAAUAGAUAGACCAUCUAACAUUAUAGUACUAUCUUACUACACAAUAAAAACCAAUUACACCAAGCAUGUUUCUAUAGAUAGACCGUCUAACAUUAUAGUACUAUCUAACUACACAAUAAAAACCAAUUAUACCAAGCAUGUUUCUAUAGAUAGACCAUCUAACAUUAUAGUACUAUCUUACUAUGCAAUACAAACCAUUUAUACCAAGCAUGUUUCAAUAGAUAGAACAUCUAACAUCAUAGUACUAUUUUACUACACAAUAAAAACCAGUUAUACCAAGCA
This 288-nucleotide long non-coding RNA is filed under the name Mytilus galloprovincialis (Mediterranean mussel). The record is from RNAcentral. Lineage: Eukaryota; Metazoa; Mollusca; Bivalvia; Mytilida; Mytilidae.